RNAcentral lists this ribosomal RNA (253 nucleotides) under uncultured bacterium. Its description in RNAcentral is "partial 16S ribosomal RNA". It matches the Rfam family "Bacterial small subunit ribosomal RNA", at positions 524 to 776 of the family's 1533-position model. The record is from RNAcentral.
UACGAAGGGGGCUAGCGUUGCUCGGAAUCACUGGGCGUAAAGCGCACGUAGGCGGCUUUUUAAGUCAGGGGUGAAAUCCUGGAGCUCAACUCCAGAACUGCCUUUGAUACUGAGAAGCUUGAGUCCGGGAGAGGUGAGUGGAACUGCGAGUGUAGAGGUGAAAUUCGUAGAUAUUCGCAAGAACACCAGUGGCGAAGGCGGCUCACUAGCCCGGUACUGACGCUGAGGUGCGAAAGCGUGGGGAGCAAACAGG